RNAcentral lists this ribosomal RNA (492 nucleotides) under uncultured bacterium. RNAcentral describes it as "partial 16S ribosomal RNA". It matches the Rfam family "Bacterial small subunit ribosomal RNA", at positions 29 to 507 of the family's 1533-position model. The record is from RNAcentral.
AGUGAACGCUGGCGGUAGGCCUAACACAUGCAAGUCGAACGGCAGCACAGUAAGAGCUUGCUCUUACGGGUGGCGAGUGGCGGACGGGUGAGGAAUACAUCGGCAUCUACUUUUUCGUGGGGGAUAACGUAGGGAAACUUACGCUAAUACCGCAUACGACCUACGGGUGAAAGCAGGGGAUCUUCGGACCUUUCGCGAUUGAAUGAGCCGAUGUCGGAUUAGCUAGUUGGCGGGGUAAAGGCCCACCAAGGCGACGAUCCGUAGCUGGUCUGAGAGGAUGAUCAGCCACACUGGAACUGAGACACGGUCCAGACUCCUACGGGAGGCAGCAGUGGGGAAUAUUGGACAAUGGGCGCAAGCCUGAUCCAGCCAUACCGCGUGAGUGAAGAAGGCCUUCGGGUUGUAAAGCUCUUUUGUUGGGAAAGAAAAGCAGCAGGUUAAUACCCCGCUGUUCUGACGGUACCCAAAGAAUAAGCACCGGCUAACUUCGUG